Molecule: ribosomal RNA, 254 nt
Filed under: uncultured bacterium
Lineage: Bacteria
Description: partial 16S ribosomal RNA
Rfam family: Bacterial small subunit ribosomal RNA
Source: RNAcentral
UACGGAGGGUGCGAGCGUUGUCCGGAUUUAUUGGGUUUAAAGGGUGCGUAGGCGGCUUUUUUAAGUCAGUGGUGAAAUACAGCAGCUCAACUGUUGAGGUGCCAUUGAUACUGAGAGGCUUGAGUACAGAUGAGGUAGGCGGAAUUUAUGGUGUAGCGGUGAAAUGCAUAGAUACCAUAAAGAACACCGAUUGCGAAGGCAGCUUACUAAGCUGUAACUGACGCUGAGGCACGAAAGCGUGGGGAGCGAACAGG